Poecilia latipinna (sailfin molly) is the source of this 5051-nucleotide long non-coding RNA. RefSeq lists it as uncharacterized. The record is from RefSeq and is a predicted model, not a curated record. The transcript has 2 exons. Lineage: Eukaryota; Metazoa; Chordata; Actinopteri; Cyprinodontiformes; Poeciliidae.
CUUUUAAGUCAUAUUUGAUGUAUGCAGCAUUGUUAUAUCAACUGACUGUAACAUAGCUACUUGAUUGUGCUAUAAAAUGAUCCUGUCUGCCUGGAAAACUCAUAAUGCUGCUCCUCCACCACCAAAAUCACCUGAUGAAAAAUCAUCUUUCAAAAUAAAAAUGUUCUAUAGUACCUGAACGUUUCCUCAGUCGUUUAUGAGCAGCCGUAAAGUUGGGUGGGACAGCUUGUUUUCUUUUGUUCUCCUUGUUUUAAUGCUUUUGCACAGUGAAUCCUUUAAUGUGAAUCUUCUCUCCACUCCCACACUGUACGGCAAAAUUGUUUAGGACAGGUGACUUUUCCAACAUCGACAAUCAGCUGGAAAGCAGCUGGAACGGGCGCGGCCAUUUAUCAAGAAGAGGGAAUUAACUUCAAAGGGAUUUGAAGACGUCUGUGUAGAAUGAAGGCUCCGGGAUGAAUUAUGCAUGAAAACGCCUCACCAGAAUAAUAUGCUGACACAAUUUGUCACACCCCACCAGAAUGCACAAGUCGCAGAGUUAAGGGGGAGGAGCAGGCCGGGGGGACUGAGGCAGUCAAGUUGCAUCGUCGCUCUGGGCCAGUGGUAGUUGAACAACUGUGUAAUCUACACCGUGAGAAUAAGUUUAGUCAUUUUCUAAUUUUCAUGCAAUAAAUUAAAACUUUUUUGAUACAUUGUGCUUCAUUUAAAAUGUGCUUCAUUUUUUUUUACCUGUGUAAUCCUGAAGUGCUUCGAGGCUGGACGUGAGGUGUGUGUCGCCCCCAUGCACCUCUAAAAGCCUGCUCUGCUGUCGGCGUGGGGAGGAUGCACAUUUGAGAGCUGACAGUUUAAUGGAGCAGAAAACAAACAGCAGCAAGGAUUUUUAGACUCCCAACAUUUAAAAAAGAAAAAGCUUUUCCAGUGUAAUAUGAAUUCUUUAACCCAUAAAACCUGGAAGAACCUCUCCAUACAUGUGAAGUUGCGCAUGUCAAUUCCGGCUUUAAUGCGUUACAUCCAAAGUGGUUAUUUAGUGUUUUAUUAAUGCUUAUGAAUAAUAUCAAGAUCUGGUUAUUGUUAGGAAAGCAUUGAUCCACUUUUUCACUUCUAAGUACGAUACCGAUCCGAACAGAAGACCAGCUGCAUUGAUUAAAAUGGUUCUGGUUUUUACACAUAACUGUUCUGAAUUACACAUUUAUUUGAUAACUCUGUAUCAAUAAAGCACACUGAAAUACACCAACAACUUCACAAGCUUGGUCAAUCAUAUAAAAACAACUUGAAUUUGUUCCCUCAGUGCAAUUAGGAGAAGAUCAGCCAGUGUAAAAUAAAUCAACUGAAACUGGCAAAACCAAUAGGUUGACUACUUUGGUCAAACAUGUCAAAAUAAAUUGCUACAAACUUUUCAGAUGGUUCACAAGGUGCCAUUAAGAAUUCUAAAUAUAAUGUAAAAUAUAUAAUAAAGCACCAGGCUCAAUAGAUCUGCCCAUAUCGAUUCAACACAUUGUCAUGGAUACCUGAUUUAGAUUUUUUUUUUCAAUAUCGGGACCAACACAGGUAUUAAUAUCAUAUCAGUGCAUCUCCAGUUAUUGUCUUACGUCUUGAAUUUGUGUUGAUACAAAGCAGAAAUAAAGAAGCUGUUUUUAUUGGUUAUUUCAUUUCAGUUUAGCAAAUUCCAUCCAUGACAACCAGAACCAAGUUCAAAUUCAAUCAUGUAGAAAUCAGUCCAAUCCACAUUCAUUUAAAAUCAAUUAUUAUUUUUCCUUUUUUUUUUUACUAAUUAAAAAAAGGGUCAAUUGUGUGACCCUAAAGGGUUAAUUUAGGGUCACACAGAUAUUUUGAGUAGAAGUGGGAAAGACUGGCAAAAUUCAGACUAAUGAUCAGGCAAAUAACAGCAAAGUUUGUCAUAGAAACUUUUUUUUUCUGCAAGGGAAGAAAAAAAAAUAGAAAUUGCAGAUUUACAGCAAACCUAAUGUCCAGGUGUCAUCAGAUCUGAGUCACUCAGAUUCAAACAUACACAGAGCUUUACUGUAAAAUACAGCAGCUGCAGAGACGAUCCAGGAGGACAGAGAUCAACAUGUCUCCCAGAAUGCAUUGCAUCUGUUGCUCAUUAAAAUAUUGCAAUGAUCAGUUAAAUGGAAGCUUUUGUGUACAUAUAUGUUACAAAUUGCAAAUGUAUCAAACCGUUUCUGUGCGGCACAUUGCUGCCGCUGUGACGCUAACGAGGCUUCGUCUCUGUCUGUUUUUCCCCGACAGUCUGAAGAAUCAGAUAUGUGUCCAGUGAGCGUGGGACGCUGAUGAAGACACCAACUCCUGGAUUGAUGUCAGACAAGCUGUGGUCAGCUUGCCCUGCUUUCUCUGCCUCUGUCCUGCUCAUUCAGCCGCCUUAUCAUCAUUUCAGUUUUUUUUUUUUUUUUUUUGUAUUAUUUUACUUUUCUCUCUCUUUCUCUUUCUUCUCGCUCUGAGUAUUUUGGCUGCCCAGACCAAGGAGAGUUAUAAAGAAGUGUUUUUUUAUUACUAUUAUUAUUAUUAUUAUUAUUAUUAUUAUUAUUAUUACUAUUAUUUGGAGCAACUUUCACAUGACCAUCUCCACUAUCAAAACAAAAGGAAGAGCUUCGGCUUCUGUCCGCAUCACCAGGCUGCUCCGACGCUCUGUUGGAAACUCUGUUAGUUUGUUUACUUUUCCGUCUUUCAGUCUGAAAGAAAGCAUCCGGGAGGAUCUUUUGCUCAACAGCUUUUCUAAAACAUGCAUGGACAAAGCUCUACUUUUUUCAGUAGAAUAUCAAAUACUUUAUGCUGAGCUUUGAACUGAGGAAAUGAGGGUUUGUUUGCUUCUACUUGAAAGAAAUGGAACAUUUUUAAUUAUACAUUCAAUAUUAAAUACGGCUUCACCACUGACUUUUUUUUUCUCCACACACAGAACAACUUUUACUGGAUACAGUGCUUUCUUGUCGUAGCCCUAAACCCUUUUGCAGCUUGAGAUAGGUUGAUAGCAAUAAUAACACUGCUCGAACUCUCACUAUUUUGUAAAGUGUAUCUGUCUGUUUACUAUGCUAAGCGAAAAUAGCUGUUUUUUGCAAGAUGAUUAGUAUGAUUAUAAAUCCCAGCAUCUGUUCUUUUGUUUUGCUGCUUUUGUUGGAGGAUCAAUCUGCUAAACGAAGGAUCCACAAAUGUUGGAGUUUUGAGGGAAAAUUCUAGAUUUACAACAACUUUCAUAUAAAGGUGAACAAAGUGAGAAUAUUAACCACUCGAUCAGAAUCCUAACACCGGGAAAGAGAAACAAAAAGCAUCUCCAUUUUUGUUGGUUGCAAGCAGAGCUUUGAAAUGCAAAAAGGAGAAAAAUGAUUAAUAGACCAAAACAAAUGGAGUAAGAGAUGCACUGAAAUAUUAAUUUAAAUGUGGAGGAUUAUGAAAUAUUGACUUUUUUUAGCUUUAUAUUAUGUUUUAAUGUCAUUCUCUCAUCGAACCAUACAUGGAGUGUUGCUUUGACUGGUUCAUCCAUGUUUGAGAAAUCUUCGAGUCUCCCGUGGCAACCAUUUGGGGACGCCGUAACACCUCAUUUGAUGCAUUCAAAAUUUGCCCAACGCUCUUGCCCAAAUCCCACUCUACAUCCCUUGGAAGCUUGAAGGAGGAGCUUCAUCUCAAAGGCGGAGCUUUGUCCACCCAGGUGUCUUGCACAGCUUAAUGGUUGCCACGGGAGAUUAAACAUGCAUGAAAGAAAAAAGGCAACACUCCAGGUAUGUUCUCGCAAGAAAAUAACAAUUACAUGAUGUAAAGCUCACAAAAGUUGCUAUUACAUAACACUGCCCCUUUAAAGCCUCUGUUGACACUGAGAUUUUUGUUAAAGAGAGUAAAGACAUAACAAUCCGAUAUUUGACACCAGCAUUAAAUCUGUCUGAGAAAUACAGGAAUUGAGCAUUUCCUGUAUUAUCUUAUUAUAUAGACUUAAAACCACAGAACAAUUAUCCGUCAGAUGAAAUUUUAUGAGAAUCUGGUGUUUUGGAGCCUUGGUGGCAGUAACGGACUCUGCUUUUAACUUUUUGGUUUAAUUUUUCAUUCGGCUCACACCCAAAGCCUGGUAAUGAUUAAUAUCAGAUCGGUGUAUCGAAACCAAGAUAAAUGAUGAACUUGGUCGUUUUAAGUCCUUUUAAUUCUUGCAAAAAUAUUUCUUAUGAUGUCUACCACGUGUUCUGCUCUGGGGGGAUUUGUUUUGCUCUUUAAAGCAAAGUAAAUAAUGCUGGUGAAACGCUGUCAGUGCUGCAGGUUUGGGAAAGUCCCAUUUGGACAUCUGAAUAGUGUUCAUCUCAGGGAGGAGCACCCGUUUGCUUUAGGCUCACAAACGCUGCUGAGAGAGAGAAACGAAAAAAAGUCAUUUGUACUGAAACCUCUCCCCUUUAAAGUUUUUCAGAAUGUGUAUAUGGCAAAGACUGAACCAUAAUUGUCAUGGUUUUGUAAAAUAAUAUUGUUGUGGAUUCCUGUAUUGAAAAUUUAGUCAUAAAACAUGCAGACACAAAUAUAUAUAUACAUAAAAUCCUAAGCUUAUGUAGCACUAUUCUUUCUCAGAUGUCAUGUUAAUAGACAUAUUAAAGCCAGUAUUCAAAUAAUGAGGGUUUUAAGAGAACUAUAAAUGGUAAAUACACUGAUGUUGUGGGUCAGUUUAGGAUAUUAUUGCUAUCUGUUUACAGUAGAAGUCAUUUUAUUCACUGUCAGUUUCAGUGCUGAUCAAAAUGUAGCUUUGACUGUUGUCAUACAAAGUGCUUUUUUCUGAACAGACCUCUUUGAGUUUUGACGUCUGGAAUCACUUGAACACAGAGCUGGACUGUUUUGUGGAGCGGGACUCGGAGCGAACAGCUGAGGAACUGCUGGCUGAUGUCACAUUUGCUGCAAGAGAUCCCAACAGCGACGACUUUAGGACUGAUUUUAAUAUGACCAUUAAGAUUUGCACGUGUGAUUUGUUCUUGCAAGGUCGCCCAGGAAUCAUAAGCCCAGCCUCCCUUUGUGCGCCGAGUUUGUGUUUUGUUUCUGUCUGAGAAAAGAAUAAAAAACACCUGCAACAACAUUCA